CCUACGGGAGACAGCAGUGGGGGAUAUUGCACAAUGGGGGGAACCCUGAUGCAGCGACGCCGCGUGAGUGAAGAAGCGCCUCGGCGCGUAAAGCCCUGUCAGCAGGGAAGAAAAUGACGGUACGUGAAGAAGAAGCCCCGGCUAACUACGUGCCAGCAGCCGCGGUAAUACGUAGGGGGGAAGCGUUAUCCGGAUUUACUGGGUGGAAAGGGGGCGCAGACGGCGCUGCAAGCCCGGAGUGAAAGCCCGGGGCCCAACCCCGGGACUGCUGUUGAAACUGCGUGGCUGGAGUGCAGGAGGGGAAGGCGGAAUGCGUGGUGUAGCGGUGAAAUGCGUAGAUAUCAGGAGGAACACCGGUGGCGAAGGCGGCCUGCUGGCGUGCAACUGACGUUGAGGCACGAAAGCGUGGGGAGCGAACAGGAUUAGAUACCCUAGUAGUC
RNAcentral lists this ribosomal RNA (440 nucleotides) under uncultured bacterium. RNAcentral's name for it is "partial 16S ribosomal RNA". It matches the Rfam family "Bacterial small subunit ribosomal RNA", at positions 338 to 795 of the family's 1533-position model. The record is from RNAcentral.